This 429-nucleotide ribosomal RNA is filed under the name Actinomycetes bacterium. Its description in RNAcentral is "Actinobacteria bacterium partial 16S ribosomal RNA". It matches the Rfam family "Bacterial small subunit ribosomal RNA", at positions 355 to 776 of the family's 1533-position model. The record is from RNAcentral. Lineage: Bacteria; Bacillati; Actinomycetota; Actinomycetes.
UAGGGAAUCUUCCGCAAUGGGCGAAAGCUUGACGGAGCAACGCCGCGUGAGUGAUGAAGGUUUUCGGAUCGUAAAACUCUGUUAUUAGGGAAGAACAAAUGUGUAAGUAACUAUGCACGUCUUGACGGUACCUAAUCAGAAAGCCACGGCUAACUACGUGCCAGCAGCCGCGGUAAUACGUAGGUGGCAAGCGUUAUCCGGAAUUAUUGGGCGUAAAGCGCGCGUAGGCGGUUUUUUAAGUCUGAUGUGAAAGCCCACGGCUCAACCGUGGAGGGUCAUUGGAAACUGGAAAACUUGAGUGCAGAAGAGGAAAGUGGAAUUCCAUGUGUAGCGGUGAAAUGCGCAGAGAUAUGGAGGAACACCAGUGGCGAAGGCGACUUUCUGGUCUGUAACUGACGCUGAUGUGCGAAAGCGUGGGGAUCAAACAGG